This 597-nucleotide long non-coding RNA is filed under the name Salmo salar (Atlantic salmon). RNAcentral's name for it is "lncRNA (ENSSSAG00000102710.1)". Lineage: Eukaryota; Metazoa; Chordata; Actinopteri; Salmoniformes; Salmonidae. The record is from RNAcentral.
CUUAGAUCAUGUGCUAACAAGACGGAGAUUUUUGGACAUAAAUGAUGAGCUUUUUUGAACAAAACUACAUUCGUUAUGGACCUGUGAUACCUGGAAGUGACAUCUGAUGAAGAGAAUCAAAGAGGGUUAUGGUGUAGGGGUUACCGACUGACCAUCAUCAACAUCGCUGACUUCGGGGUCAAGCAAAAGCGACUGAACGGAGGAAGCGACUGAACGGAGGAAGCAACGCAAGUCAAUGCAAUGGAGCUUGAGAUGACAUCUUCAUCCCUGAAAAGGUUUUCAUCCUGGAGGAGACAGUUCAGGAGGCAGAGGAGGAAAGAAUGGUUAUUACAGCAUGACAAACUGACCCCUGGAUGCCAGAGUGUUCCUGUGCUGCGGUGGAAAAGAGGUCCACAGGGACCAUCACUAAAGAGCUCGGGGCCCAGUUAGAUUGAGCUCACAACCAUCAGUAUAUAACCGGGUCCUGUAUACUGAUACUGAGUCCCCUAUACGCCACAGAUGGAGCAGACGGAGAGGGAGAUCAAUGAAGACCAUAACUCGCUGUAUGAACCUGAGAGCUCAGAAUCACAAUCACCACAGUGCGAGCCAAGAUAUGCU